This 57-nucleotide transfer RNA is filed under the name Caudoviricetes sp. RNAcentral describes it as "tRNA-OTHER". It matches the Rfam family "tRNA", at positions 19 to 71 of the family's 71-position model. Rfam says of the family: Transfer RNA (tRNA) molecules are approximately 80 nucleotides in length. Their secondary structure includes four short double-helical elements and three loops (D, anti-codon, and T loops). Lineage: Duplodnaviria; Heunggongvirae; Uroviricota; Caudoviricetes. The record is from RNAcentral.
UAGGAAAAAGGCCUCAUAAGCCUUUGGUCGGGUGUUCAAAUCACCUCCCUGCUACCA